UCUCUCAAAUUCUCAAAACAUUGACAACCGAUCUCUCUAUUCCAUCCGCCGCAGUAAUCAUCUUCUGCUUCUCUGGUAUCUUAUUAUCGAUAGGUUCUUGUUAGUUUAGUUUGAUUGAUAUCUGUUUUGUUUUUAGUUUAGUUUUCGAUUGAGGUUUUGGAAAGCAUCUGUGUUUAUGAACCUACUCCUCUAGCUUAGUGAGGUAAAAAUCACAAUAAAAGUAUGGUAAGAGGAGUUAAGAACAGAUGCUGAUAUUGAUUAGGUUAUCUUACCAACCCAUUGCUAUAUUCUGCAGCUUUGGCGUCAAAUGAAUCGACCUAUAUUUUUGCAAUCUUUUAAUUAUUUAUUAGGGUUUAAUUGUGAUUGAUGGCAAAUGAAGAAUUGAUUAUUUUAUGCUUAACCACUGAUGAACAGUGUUGACAAAACAUCUCCGCUUAUUAUCUGAUGCCAUCAUUAUUAGUCUUUUAAUUAUAAUUGUUUUCAAAAUUAAUUUUCGGUUUGGGUUUUUGAAAAAAGAUCGAUGAUGAGAUAUUAGCAGACGGGCGGUCUGAAUUGAUGCCGUGUAGAUUGUCUGCCAUCGCUACUAUAUGUAGUUUCUCUGAGUUCCAUCAUAAUCUUUACUUUGAUAUUAAUUCUGUACAUCUAUUGUUGUAGUGAUGGUUUUUGGUUGCGAACCUGCGAUGAUGAAGUUGCUCUAAUAUAUGUCUGGACUUAUGAGAUUUUUUAAAUCUUUGAAAUGAUUGUGCAACCUUUCUGAGCUUACUCUAUCCAUUAUCAUAUGUUUUUCUUUGAAAAUUUCUGGAUAUCUGAAAUACUAUACUUGGAUCUGGUACGUGGAAAUUGUGAGCUAGUGUCGUUUCCAACAGAGUUUUAUAGAGUAAUGUAAUAUAUUUCAGAAUGAUGCUUAAGCUUGUCUGGUGAAUCUGAUGGGAAGAAAUAAGAAUCGUCUAUGCUUACUACGAACAAUUACAAGGCCCAAUCUCUAUUUUUAAUCAUGCUGAUUAAUAAGUUCCUGUUAAAAUCAUUCGUCUUGGAAAUUUCAAGUGGAAUUGGUGUUCGACCUUGCUCGACUGUGGUAUUUCAACUAAGAUCCCGGUGAAGGCUUAAGACAAAACGGUCUCGGAUUCUUUUAAUGUUUCCAUUUUUGUUGUGCUUGUAUCGAAUGUAAUGAUUUCGUUACUUUGCAUCAAAUAAAAUUUUAAUUUAUAAUUUCUUUA
Molecule: non-coding RNA, 1217 nt
Organism: Camelina sativa (false flax)
Lineage: Eukaryota; Viridiplantae; Streptophyta; Magnoliopsida; Brassicales; Brassicaceae
Source: RefSeq, a predicted model, not a curated record